AAUGAACGCUGGCGGCAUGCCUAACACAUGCAAGUCGAACGAGACCUUCGGGUCUAGUGGCGCACGGGUGCGUAACGCGUGGGAAUCUGCCCCUUGGUUCGGAAUAACUCAGAGAAAUUUGAGCUAAUACCGGAUAAUGACGUAAGUCCAAAGAUUUAUCGCCUAGGGAUGAGCCCGCGUAGGAUUAGCUAGUUGGUGGGGUAAAAGCCUACCAAGGCGACGAUCCUUAGCUGGUCGAGAGGAUGAUCAGCCACACUGGGACUGAGACACGGCCCAGACUCCUACGGGAGGCAGCAGUGGGGAAUAUUGGACAAUGGGCGAAAGCCUGAUCCAGCAAUGCCGCGUGAGUGAUGAAGGCCUUAGGGUUGUAAAGCUCUUUUACCCGGGAAGAUAAUGACUGUACCGGGAGAAUAAGCCCCGGCUAACUCCGUGCCAGCAGCCGCCGCCGUAAG
Molecule: ribosomal RNA, 452 nt
Filed under: uncultured bacterium
Lineage: Bacteria
Description: bacterial SSU rRNA
Rfam family: Bacterial small subunit ribosomal RNA
Source: RNAcentral